Molecule: long non-coding RNA, 1223 nt
Filed under: Numida meleagris (helmeted guineafowl)
Lineage: Eukaryota; Metazoa; Chordata; Aves; Galliformes; Numididae
Description: lncRNA (ENSNMEG00000013519.1)
Source: RNAcentral
CUGGUGUUGUGAAUUAUUUAACACAGUCUUCACUUCAUGAAUGAAGUUUUCACAUAUCAUUCCCUCCAAAGGGGCAUUAUCCUUUAGAUGUUGUCCAUUAAAAAUCUGGGUUAUGGUCCUGAGUCUACCAGUGACCAGCAUCAGCAAAUCACUGACCUCUGCCUGACAUAUCCACUACCCUUUUACUUCUUUCAGCUCCCAUAAUAAUCAAAUUUUCAGUAUUCUGACACCAACACUCCAAGAAGGGACCCAUCCCAUGAAGGCGACUCAUGACCAGAUUCUGUCAGUGGGUACAAGCAAUGUUUGGAGAUGAUACCUCAGAUCCACAGUACAAUGAAGAAUCCUCUGGAAAUUCUUCUCCAGGAUACAUUUGAGAUGGUCACACUGCAGACUGCCUUGCAAACAGGCCCUUCCAGAUCCAGGAGUCUGAGUGAGCUGGAUGCCACAGCCUUAGACAAAGUUCAUGUCCUGACUGCAACCUGCAAGCCCACAAGCAAAGAAGUUUCAACUGGGAAUUCAGUUGAAGUUGAUGAGAACUGAAGCUAAACUGCCUUUUGGGGGGGAAUCUAAGGGGCACCUAGACUUGUCCAUUUUCUAAAUUUUCAGUCAUACAAGAAAAUAAUUUUAUGCUUUGUAUCCUUUUUAAUUUCAACUUUUAUUUUUCUGUGAGGCACUGAGGAGAAAACUGCUGGUAGUGAAGGAGUUAGACAGAAAAUCUUCACUCAGAGUGCCUCAGCCACAACGGAGAUGUUCUUGCACUCCGUAUUUCACACAACAGCUCAGAAAGAUGAAGUUUGUGUAACAAAUGCAGAUAAAGUUAUCAUCGCCUAUCUCUACAACAUACAAUUACUUUGAUUCAUGCAAUCUGCCUCUAUGAUGAGAUGUCUCACAGUAACAGCAUAAUAACCACUAAAAUAACCAUUUAGUUAUUAAAGCUAGCUGAUUCUAAGUUUGCUUUAAUGAAAAGCUUCAGAUCAUCUGGUUUGAUAUCUGUUGGCGAAAGAACUCUUCUUGGCAGUGAACUCACAGAACAGACACAAGGGAGACUUGUUUCAGGCCUAGCAUCAGUAAAAGGAAAGGAAAAAUAUAAGGAAAGUAUUCUUCAUGGUCAGUAUGUCACUGCAGAAAGUGGAGUGAUUCGGCGGUAGAGAAGAGAGAUUCUUCCAUGUAAGAGCAUGUUCUCUGUAGGAGGUUAAUAAAAGGUGAUCCUACAGAAAUUUGCA